This 301-nucleotide ribosomal RNA is filed under the name uncultured bacterium. RNAcentral's name for it is "partial 16S ribosomal RNA". It matches the Rfam family "Bacterial small subunit ribosomal RNA", at positions 509 to 809 of the family's 1533-position model. The record is from RNAcentral.
CAGUCGCCGCGGUAAAACGUAGGUGGCGAGCGUUGUCCGGAAUCAUUGGGCGUAAAGGGAGCGCAGGCGGGCAUGUAAGUCUUUCUUAAAAGUUCGGGGCUCAACCCCGUGAUGGGAAAGAAACUACAUGUCUUGAGUACAGGAGAGGAAAGCGGAAUUCCCAGUGUAGCGGUGAAAUGCGUAGAUAUUGGGAGGAACACCAGUGGCGAAGGCGGCUUUCUGGACUGCAACUGACGCUGAGGCUCGAAAGCCAGGGGAGCGAACAGGAUUAGAUACCCCCGUAGUCCCUGUCUCUUAUACA